UACGUAGGGUGCGAGCGUUAAUCGGAAUUACUGGGCGUAAAGUGUGCGCAGGCGGCCAUGCAAGUCGAGUGUGAAAGCCCCGGGCUUAACUUGGGAAUUGGGCUCGAAACUACGUGGCUGGAGUGUGGCAGAGGAAGGUGGAAUUCCACGUGUAGCGGUGAAAUGCGUAGAGAUGUGGAGGAACACCAAUGGCGAAGGCAGCCUUCUGGGCCAACACUGACGCUGAGGAGCGAAAGCAUGGGGAGCGAACAGG
RNAcentral lists this ribosomal RNA (253 nucleotides) under uncultured bacterium. Its description in RNAcentral is "partial 16S ribosomal RNA". It matches the Rfam family "Bacterial small subunit ribosomal RNA", at positions 524 to 776 of the family's 1533-position model. The record is from RNAcentral.